GGAAAUGAAGAUUUCAUUGAAUUCCCGUGCUUUCUCUGAAAAAAAAAAAUACUAAGUAUUAAAUUAUUUCUAUCCAUUCUUCGAAUAUGCUCUCCCCGAACUGGAAAAAUAAAUAAAUAAAUAAAUAAAAUCCGCGGGAGCUCCAUUCUAGCUGAAAUUUCUGCCAUUCCUAAAGUUGGGUACACGUUUAUACAAAAGCCAACGACAUCUCAAUUUUGUACUUCUACAUUUAUUUAGUAAAGAAGGUUUUAGAUGGGUAAUGUAACUCAAAUCCACGAUCCUGAAUUGCAGUUAUAAUACGGAAGGGCAUUUUUAGCCGUAGGAUUCGAUCCAACGGUCACUUUACAUUUUGAUUAAGUAAUUGAUCCAACCCAAUUCUCAAUAUCGAAUCCAAUCGUCGUAUGGGUAUUGCAGCCGCCGGAGCCCCGUCCUAACGCACUCCCCCAUUUGCAACGACAAAAACCCAUCAAGGAGCAAAAUCCCAUUUGAAAAUAAAUUGACAUUUAUUCUGAUACAAUAACUUUUAAGAUAAAAUUAAAAAUUAAAUACAACAUGAAAACUUCAAAAUCAAGUUGAUUGAUUAAAUUGACACUGUUAACUACAUUUUAUCCCACAUACUGAAAUAUAAAGAGUACAUUUCAUUCCAUUCCAUUAGUAAGAAUAAGAGCAAGACUAUUGGUAAAGAGUACAUUUCAUUCCAAUAGUGAGAAUAAGAGCAGCAAGAUUAUUCUAACACGUUAAUUUUCUCUUUACAUCUUUUUUAAUUAAAAACUUUAUUACCUCAAUAAAUUUUAGAAACAAUUACUUAAUUAACCAUUUCUUCUUAUUUUAUUUUCAAUUUUACAAAUGCUCAUCAAUUCAUUCAUAUAUAUAUAUUUUAUCUAUAAAUAUUUGAUAUUAUUAACUAAAAGCAACAAAAUCAACAAUUAAAAAUAAACAUUAAUAAAUUUUUAUCAACUAUAAAAAUUACAAAAUAUCAAAAAACUAAUUUUUACUAAAUACAAAAGCUAAUAGAAAUCAAGAAAAAUAAAAUAUAUAGAAAACAUGAGAGAGAAAUCAUUAUAUAUUAAAAAAACUAAAAAAUGAAUUCAAAAUAGAAUGAAAUUGAGUGUUGGUCUAUAGAAUGUGAGUGAAAUUUGAUUUUUAAAUUAUAAAUUUUUAAGAAUGAAUUUAUUUUUUAAAAUAGGUAUAAAGAAAAAUUUGACGAGUUCAAAUAGUCUCACCCUGAAAAUAAAGAUUAACAAUUUUUUCUCACAACAAUUGGAUUAUCAAUUUGCACGCCUUUGUCGAUUUUUUGAACAUCUACUUCUACAACUUCUUUUGCUAGAGAGUAAGAUAAUUCACCAUCUACUUGCACAAGAAAUGGAUCAAAAUCAUCAUAUACAAAAAUAAUGAAUUAAUUGAAUUUAAUUAACAUUAAUUAAGAAGUCAAUAUAGGGAUCUAAAAUAAAUAAUUAAAUAGGAUGAAGAUUGAUCAGCAUGCAACUCACGUGAAUAAAGAAACUCGAUGGCUCUGGCGGCUGUGCAAAUCAAUUCUGAUUCCAGAAAUUUGGAAACUUUGACUUGAAUCAAGCUGUGCAAUAAAGAAACUCGAUGGCUCUGGCGGCUGUGCAAAUCAUUUCUGAUUCCUGAAAUUUGGAAACUUUGACUUGAAUCAAGCUGUGCAAUCACCGAACAAAGUUUUCUGCCUCUAAAAUCUGAUUACACAGCUUUAAUCAUUUUUCUUUUGGUAGUUUUAAAGUAGGGUCAACCGUAUGCAUGGUGUUAUCACAUGCAUCCGACGGUUUAUUUGUCUGCUCUACGUUGGAGAUGUUCCAACGUAGCUGCUGCCUUUUAACUAUUAUAGAAAGUUAAAAAC
Molecule: long non-coding RNA, 1858 nt
Filed under: Citrus sinensis (sweet orange)
Lineage: Eukaryota; Viridiplantae; Streptophyta; Magnoliopsida; Sapindales; Rutaceae
Description: long non-coding RNA (CSIN_LNC001538)
Source: RNAcentral